ACGGGAGGCAGCAGUGGGGAAUAUUGCACAAUGGGCGCAAGCCUGAUGCAGCGACGCCGCGUGAGCGAAGAAGUAUUUCGGUAUGUAAAGCUCUAUCAGCAGGGAAGAAGAUGACGGUACCUGACUAAGAAGCCCCGGCUAACUACGUGCCAGCAGCCGCGGUAAUACGUAGGGGGCAAGCGUUAUCCGGAUUUACUGGGUGUAAAGGGAGCGUAGACGGCCAUGCAAGUCUGAUGUGAAAACCCGCGGCUCAACCGCGGGAUUGCAUUGGAAACUGUACGGCUUGAGUACUGGAGGGGCAGGCGGAAUUCCUGGUGUAGCGGUGGAAUGCGUAGAUAUCAGGAAGAACACCGGUGGCGAAGGCGGCCUGCUGGACAGUAACUGACGUUGAGGCUCGAAAGCGUGGGGAGCAAACAGGAUUAGAUACCCUGGUA
This 434-nucleotide ribosomal RNA is filed under the name uncultured Lachnospiraceae bacterium. Its description in RNAcentral is "bacterial SSU rRNA". It matches the Rfam family "Bacterial small subunit ribosomal RNA", at positions 341 to 792 of the family's 1533-position model. Lineage: Bacteria; Bacillati; Bacillota; Clostridia; Lachnospirales; Lachnospiraceae. The record is from RNAcentral.